UACAGGGGGUGCAAACGUUGCUCGGAAUUAUUGGGCGUAAAGCGCGCGUAGGCGGCUACUUAAGUCGGAUGUGAAAGCCCCUGGCUUAACUGGGGAAGUGCACCCGAAACUGAGUAGCUAGAGUGCGAAAGAGGGUCGCGGAAUUCCCGGUGUAGAGGUGAAAUUCGUAGAUAUCGGGAGGAACAUCAGUGGCGAAGGCGGCUAUCUGGACUAACACUGACACUGAGACUCGAAAGCGUGGGGAGCAAACAGG
RNAcentral lists this ribosomal RNA (253 nucleotides) under uncultured bacterium. Its description in RNAcentral is "partial 16S ribosomal RNA". It matches the Rfam family "Bacterial small subunit ribosomal RNA", at positions 524 to 776 of the family's 1533-position model. The record is from RNAcentral.